Triticum dicoccoides is the source of this 2335-nucleotide long non-coding RNA. RefSeq lists it as uncharacterized. The record is from RefSeq and is a predicted model, not a curated record. NCBI's taxonomy places the organism in Eukaryota, Viridiplantae, Streptophyta, Magnoliopsida, Poales, Poaceae. The transcript has 4 exons.
UGGGCCUAGAUCGUAUCGGGGGAACGGAGGACGCGCGUGUGCGUUCUGGUCCGUGGACCAGAAUGUUCUCAUCUCAACCGAGCCACGGAUCAGAACAGAGGAAACCCUCGUCGCCCCCCUCUCUUCCCCCAAAACCGGCGGCGCUCGAUCUGCACCGGCGGCCACGUGAUGGAAGAGGCUGGCCUCGAUUUCCUGCUCGAUGCCGUCCACAGGCCAUCGCCGUCUUGUUUCAGGGGAGGAGUUCGAGGACUAUCUUGAACACCCAGAUCCGGUUCCUCUGGCCUUGUUCCUGAGAAGCGAAGCCAGCCACGCCGUCCCUGCGGACUCAAAUGCCGGGUCUGGUUGCGGGCAACAGGACGGGGAGUGCGCCGGCGUCCUGAUGCUUCUCUGACUCGGUCGGGGCAGUCACUGACCCCGAGGCCUCUGGUUGGACAAAAAGGUUACAGCUCGGUAGUGCACCACCAGACCAGACACCUUGUCCCUGGGAUGAGUGCUCACAAUUAUGCAGAGGAACCGACAAAGAGUGUAGUGCGACCUGCACUUGCUCGGGCGAGGCAUAUGAUUUCUACAAUUUGUACACUUGGGAGAUCGGGUUCGGAAUUAGAUAUGAUAAGAUCAGGCUCAACGCUGAGAGGACACAAUGCAUGGAGGAGAUAGUCUGCGGUUGCUCGGUGCCUACUGAACUCUGCUUACAUAGUUAUAUUUGAGAAAAUGGGAUUGGGCCAAUGUACUCCCCAAGUACUUCUGGUUACUGUACAACUUAGACUAUACAUGCUUGGCGAGCAGUCAUAAUUCUGAACGAAUGAACAAUUGGAGGCUAGGUCAGCAUUGCCUUACAAAUUCUACCUGUGUUCAUGCACUCCUCCGGUUGUUGUAGCGAUGAUCUGUUCCUUUCUCAGUGGGACAUGCGGGUCUUGAAAGGUUCAAGACAAUAACAAGCAGUUACUACUUACUACCGGGGAGUGCAUGGAAUCAUUGUAAGCCCUCAUGGACACCCGUAUUACUUUUUUAUCAUAUUCUUGUGACACUCAACGCCGUCUUUUUGGAACUGUUUUACUCAGAUGUAGUAAUAUAGUACUCUAGGAUCGGUUGAAUUGGUUCACAGUUUCACUUUAGCCAUUGACCUGAACUUAUCAUUUUCACGGCUCGCUGUUAUCUACAUUUAGAAAAUAAUGUGAUUUCUCUUGUACUGGCUAACAUCUAACCGCCAUUUUAGUUUGAGCUUACCUGUUAUACUUGAAUGGACAGAACAACGUAUUGCUAAUUGGCACACACCAAAAAAAACACUCUCAACUUGUUUCAUGCUUGAAAGGUUGGCUUGCCUCUUUGUUCUUGAUACUCUUCUUCGUAAUGUGAUUCUGAUCUUUUCUAUUCAAAUAUAUAAUGAAGUGACUAAAAUAUCAAUGAUUAGUUUCAGGCAUUUGCGGAAUCAUUAGGAACGAAUUUUCUUGAGAGUUAUGCUACGGAAUCCAUCAAUGUGGAGAGAACUUUCUUAAAUAUGUCAUCAGAAAUGAAGAAAAGAUAACCAGGAGCUACACACUUUUAGAGGCCUUUUUUCUUCCCAGUUUCUCUGAAAUGUUAGAUCUCAUCGAAUGACAUGUAUUCUUGUGAAAAAGAAAGGCUUUGGGAAUUCCGUCCAAUAUGUUUGCAUUACUGGUUUAAAAAAUAUGAUAUGCUCAUCUUUUUAUUGGGUUGUGUGCAUGAUCAAGAGAAGCCGAGAGAGCAAUAAUUUCUUGCUUUUCGGAAGAAAAACUGCAAGCAAGAGCAAUGACGAACAAUUUCUCAAAUACUUCCCAUGGAGCCUUUCAUUACAUUAAUUCUGCAGAGUUCAUAAUUGACACAAACAGUUUAUUUAGGUAUUGGCUUUAGUUUUUCUGAUGGCUAAGGACCAGAUCAUGCAGUUAUCUCCUCUUAUGACUACUUCUGCUGCCUUCUAAAAAUCUGGUGGGCAUGCUUUCCAUGUGGACUGCUAGUCUUGCCUUCUGUUCGAGUGAAGGAUUUACUUGCUACUGAAAUUUUUACAUGCCUGCAGAAUGACGAGCCAAUCUGCCACGGAGAGGAAAUCUACUGUCCAUGUUCACAUGAAAGGGCAGCCCAUACAGCAGCAGAACAGCAGCUGCUGCUCCGCAUAGGCUCAGCAAGACUCCAUUCCCAUGUGUUAUGAUAUUGUUGAGUGGACAUGAUUUUGUUGUGUUACUGUUUACCAUGGAGUACAUAUUUAAUACCUGCCAAUGUAUUAGAUGCAUUUGAUGGAUCUUAGGUAACGAAAAUUGUGUGAAAACAUGGUUAAUUAAAGCUUAGUAAUCAUCGCCCUGUCAUAUUUCCCAAAGGAUCA